RNAcentral lists this ribosomal RNA (425 nucleotides) under uncultured bacterium. RNAcentral's name for it is "partial 16S ribosomal RNA". It matches the Rfam family "Bacterial small subunit ribosomal RNA", at positions 354 to 796 of the family's 1533-position model. The record is from RNAcentral.
GUGGGGAAUCUUGCGCAAUGGGCGAAAGCCUGACGCAGCCAUGCCGCGUGAAUGAUGAAGGUCUUAGGAUUGUAAAAUUCUUUCACCGGGGACGAUAAUGACGGUACCCGGAGAAGAAGCUCCGGCUAACUUCGUGCCAGCAGCCGCGGUAAUACGAAGGGGGCUAGCGUUGCUCGGAAUUACUGGGCGUAAAGGGCGCGUAGGCGGACAGCUUAGUCAGAGGUGAAAGCCCAGGGCUCAACCUUGGAAUUGCCUUUGAUACUGGCUGUCUUGAGUUUGGGAGAGGUGAGUAGAACUCCGAGUGUAGAGGUGAAAUUCGUAGAUAUUCGGAAGAACACCAGUGGCGAAGGCGACUCACUGGCCCAAUACUGACGCUGAGGCGCGAAAGCGUGGGGAGCAAACAGGAUUAGAAACCCUAGUAGUCC